This 497-nucleotide ribosomal RNA is filed under the name uncultured bacterium. RNAcentral describes it as "partial 16S ribosomal RNA". It matches the Rfam family "Bacterial small subunit ribosomal RNA", at positions 28 to 507 of the family's 1533-position model. The record is from RNAcentral.
GAUGGACGCUGGCGGCGUGCCUAAUACAUGCAAGUCGAGCGAACGGACGAGAAGCUUGCUUCUCUGAUGUUAGCGGCGGACGGGUGAGUAACACGUGGAUAACCUACCUAUAAGGCUGGGAUAACUUCGGGAAACCGGAGCUAAUACCGGAUAAUAUUUUGAACCGCAUGGUUCAAAAGUGAAAGACGGUCUUGCUGUCACUUAUAGAUGGAUCCGCGCUGCAUUAGCUAGUUGGUAAGGUAACGGCUUACCAAGGCAACGAUGCAUAGCCGACCUGAGAGGGUGAUCGGCCACACUGGAACUGAGACACGGUCCAGACUCCUACGGGAGGCAGCAGUAGGGAAUCUUCCGCAAUGGGCGAAAGCCUGACGGAGCAACGCCGCGUGAGUGAUGAAGGUCUUCGGAUCGUAAAACUCUGUUAUUAGGGAAGAACAUAUGUGUAAGUAACUGUGCACAUCUUGACGGUACCUAAUCAGAAAGCCACGGCUAACUACGUG